Molecule: ribosomal RNA, 439 nt
Filed under: uncultured bacterium
Lineage: Bacteria
Description: partial 16S ribosomal RNA
Rfam family: Bacterial small subunit ribosomal RNA
Source: RNAcentral
CCUACGGGAGGCUGCAGUGGGGAAUAUUGCACAAUGGGCGAAAGCCUGAUGCAGCAACGCCGCGUGAGCGAUGAAGGCCUUCGGGUCGUAAAGCUCUGUCCUCAAGGAAGAUAAUGACGGUACUUGAGGAGGAAGCUCCGGCUAACUACGUGCCAGCAGCCGCGGUAAUACGUAGGGGGCGAGCGUUAUCCGGAUUUACUGGGGGUAAAGGGUGCGUAGGUGGUUUCUUAAGUCAGAGGUGAAAGGCUAGGGCUCAACCGUAUGAAGCCUUUGAAACUGGGAGACUUGAGUGGAGGAGAGGAGAGUGGAAUGCCUGGUGUAGCGGUGAAAUGCGUAGAUAGUAGGAAGAACACCAGUUGCGAAGGCAGCGCUCUGGACUGUAACUGACACUGAGGCACGAAAGCGUGGGGAGCAAACAGGAUUAGAUACCCUAGUAGUC